AUUCCAGCUCCAAUAGCGUAUAUUUAAGUUGUUGCAGUUAAAAAGCUCGUAGUUGGAUCUUGGGUCGUAAGGGUCGGUCCGCCUACUCGGUGUGCACCUGCCCUUCCGUCCCUUUUGUCGGCGGCGUGCUCCUGGCCUUAAUUGGCUGGGUCGCGGUUCCGGCGCUGUUACUUUGAAAAAAUUAGAGUGCUCAAAGCAAGCUUAUGCUCUGAAUACAUUAGCAUGGAAUAACGUGAUAGGAGUCUGGUCCUAUUGUGUUGGCCUUCGGGACCGGAGUAAUGAUUAAUAGGGACUGUCGGGGGCAUUCGUAUUUCAUUGUCAGAGGUGAAAUUCUUGGAUUUAUGAAAGACGGACCACUGCGAAAGCAUUUGCCAAGGAUGUUUUCAUCA
RNAcentral lists this ribosomal RNA (389 nucleotides) under Embryophyta sp. RNAcentral describes it as "partial small subunit ribosomal RNA". It matches the Rfam family "Eukaryotic small subunit ribosomal RNA", at positions 582 to 975 of the family's 1831-position model. Lineage: Eukaryota; Viridiplantae; Streptophyta. The record is from RNAcentral.